This 468-nucleotide ribosomal RNA is filed under the name uncultured bacterium. Its description in RNAcentral is "partial 16S ribosomal RNA". It matches the Rfam family "Bacterial small subunit ribosomal RNA", at positions 28 to 507 of the family's 1533-position model. The record is from RNAcentral.
GACGAACGCUGGCGGCGUGCUUAACACAUGCAAGUCGAACGGAAAGGCCCUGCUUUUGUGGGGUGCUCGAGUGGCGAACGGGUGAGUAACACGUGAGUAACCUGCCCUUGACUUUGGGAUAACUUCAGGAAACUGGGGCUAAUACCGGAUAGGAGCUCCUGCUGCAUGGUGGGGGUUGGAAAGUUUCGGCGGUUGGGGAUGGACUCGCGGCUUAUCAGCUUGUUGGUGAGGUAGUGGCUUACCAAGGCUUUGACGGGUAGCCGGCCUGAGAGGGUGACCGGCCACAUUGGGACUGCGAUACGGACCAGACUCCUACGGGAGGCAGCAGUGGGGAAUAUUGCACAAUGGGCGGAAGCCUGAUGCAGCAACGCCGCGUGCGGGAUGACGGCCUUCGGGUUGUAAACCGAUUUCGACUGUGACGAAGCGUGAGUGACGGUAAUGGGUAAAGAAGCAACGGCUAACUACGUG